AAAAUAUUCUUUGUCAUAAUUAUCUUAUAUAUAAAUAAUAGGAUUAAUUUUAUACAGGUCUUGCAAAUAUAAUGAAAUUUCUGUAAAAUUUAAUUUUCAUAUAUUAUUCCUGCAAAAGUUCUAAUAUUUUCAAAUAUAUACUUCUGUUUGUUACCAUUAAAAUAUUGUCUAUUUAUAAGUAAAAUGAUCUUUUUGCCAUUAUAGAUAUGUCCCUUUUGUUAAUUGAAGAAAAGUAAAAAAAUCAAUUCACCUCAUUAACCAACUACGAUUAAGUAUUUAACUUAUGAUUAACUAAAUUUUUCUAACGGAUUCUAACGAUAUGGAUAUAUUUGAAAAUAUCAAAUUUUUUGGAAGAACAAUAUAUAAAAAUUGAACUUUGUAGGAAUAUAUUUAUAAUUUACCAUAUUUAUCGGAACAUAUAUGUAGUUAACCCUAAAUAAUAAUAUACCUAAUUAUAGUU
This 460-nucleotide long non-coding RNA is filed under the name Ananas comosus (pineapple). RNAcentral's name for it is "long non-coding RNA (ACOM_LNC033935)". Lineage: Eukaryota; Viridiplantae; Streptophyta; Magnoliopsida; Poales; Bromeliaceae. The record is from RNAcentral.